GAUGAACGCUAGCGACAGGCUUAACACAUGCAAGUCGAGGGGCAGCAUGAGGUAGCAAUACCUUGAUGGCGACCGGCGCACGGGUGAGUAACGCGUAUGCAACCUGCCUGAUACCGGGGUAUAGCCCAUGGAAACGUGGAUUAACACCCCAUAGUACUUUUAUCCUGCCUGGGAUGGGAGUUAAAUGUUCAAGGUAUCGGAUGGGCAUGCGUCCUAUUAGUUAGUUGGCGGGGUAACAGCCCACCAAGACGAUGAUAGGUAGGGGUUCUGAGAGGAAGGUCCCCCACAUUGGAACUGAGACACGGUCCAAACUCCUACGGGAGGCAGCAGUGAGGAAUAUUGGUCAAUGGACGAGAGUCUGAACCAGCCAAGUCGCGUGAGGGAAGACUGCCCUAUGGGUUGUAAACCUCUUUUAUAAGGGAAGAAUAAGUUCUACGUGUAGAAUGAUGCCUGUACCUUAUGAAUAAGCAUCGGCUAACUCCGUGCCAGCAGCCGCGGUAAUACGGAGGAUGCGAGCGUUAUCCGGAUUUAUUGGGUUUAAAGGGUGCGUAGGCGGUUUAUUAAGUUAGUGGUUAAAUAUUUGAGCUAAACUCAAUUGUGCCAUUAAUACUGGUAAACUGGAGUACAGACGAGGUAGGCGGAAUAAGUUAAGUAGCGGUGAAAUGCAUAGAUAUAACUUAGAACUCCGAUAGCGAAGGCAGCUUACCAGACUGUAACUGACGCUGAUGCACGAGAGCGUGGGUAGCGAACAGGAUUAGAUACCCUGGUAGUCCACGCCGUAAACGAUGCUCACUGGUUCUGUGCGAUAUAUUGUACGGGAUUAAGCGAAAGUAUUAAGUGAGCCACCUGGGGAGUACGUCGGCAACGAUGAAACUCAAAGGAAUUGACGGGGGCCCGCACAAGCGGAGGAACAUGUGGUUUAAUUCGAUGAUACGCGAGGAACCUUACCUGGGUUUAAAUGGGAAAUGCCGUAUUUGGAAACAGAUAUUCUCUUCGGAGCGUUUUUCAAGGUGCUGCAUGGUUGUCGUCAGCUCGUGCCGUGAGGUGUCGGGUUAAGUCCCAUAACGAGCGCAACCCUUACCGUUAGUUGCUAGCAUGUAAUGAUGAGCACUCUAACGGGACUGCCACCGUAAGGUGAGAGGAAGGCGGGGAUGACGUCAAAUUCAGCACGGCCCUUACACCCAGGGCUACACACGUGUUACAAUGGCCGGUACAGAGGGCCGCUACCAGGUGACUGGAUGCCAAUCUCAAAAGCCGGUCGUAGUUCGGAUUGGAGUCUGUAACCCGACUCCAUGAAGUUGGAUUCGCUAGUAAUCGCGCAUCAGCCAUGGCGCGGUAAUACGUUCCCGGGCCU
This 1354-nucleotide ribosomal RNA is filed under the name uncultured bacterium. RNAcentral describes it as "bacterial SSU rRNA". It matches the Rfam family "Bacterial small subunit ribosomal RNA", at positions 28 to 1381 of the family's 1533-position model. The record is from RNAcentral.